Molecule: ribosomal RNA, 253 nt
Filed under: uncultured bacterium
Lineage: Bacteria
Description: partial 16S ribosomal RNA
Rfam family: Bacterial small subunit ribosomal RNA
Source: RNAcentral
GACAGAGGGGGCAAGCGUUGCUCGGAAUCACUGGGCGUAAAGCGCACGUAGGCGGCUUCUUAAGUCAGGGGUGAAAUCCUGGAGCUCAACUCCAGAACUGCCUUUGAUACUGAGAAGCUUGAGUCCGGGAGAGGUGAGUGGAACUGCGAGUGUAGAGGUGAAAUUCGUAGAUAUUCGCAAGAACACCAGUGGCGAAGGCGGCUCACUGGCCCGGUACUGACGCUGAGGUGCGAAAGCGUGGGGAGCAAACAGG